CCUUUGAAAAUGGCCAUGCCCGUUUUUCCUCCACAAAAUUUAGCAUCAGUUUGGAGCGUUAUUUAACCUCACCGCGACUAACUUUAAAACUGAACCCGGUACAACCUUCGGUAGAUCGAUAUUGCAUAAUGAUAUUUUUCGUUAACGGAUUAUUAUCAAGUUAA
This is a long non-coding RNA of Sebastes umbrosus (honeycomb rockfish), 164 nucleotides long. RefSeq lists it as uncharacterized. NCBI's taxonomy places the organism in Eukaryota, Metazoa, Chordata, Actinopteri, Perciformes, Sebastidae. The record is from RefSeq and is a predicted model, not a curated record. The transcript is spliced from 3 exons.